RNAcentral lists this ribosomal RNA (425 nucleotides) under uncultured bacterium. Its description in RNAcentral is "partial 16S ribosomal RNA". It matches the Rfam family "Bacterial small subunit ribosomal RNA", at positions 354 to 796 of the family's 1533-position model. The record is from RNAcentral.
GUGGGGAAUCUUGCGCAAUGGGCGAAAGCCUGACGCAGCCAUGCCGCGUGAAUGAUGAAGGUCUUAGGAUUGUAAAAUUCUUUCACCGGGGACGAUAAUGACGGUACCCGGAGAAGAAGCUCCGGCUAACUUCGUGCCAGCAGACGCGGUAAUACGAAGGGGGCUAGCGUUGCUCGGAAUUCCUGGGCGUAAAGGGCGCGUAGGCGGACAGCUUAGUCAGAGGUGAAAGCCCAGGGCUCAACCUUGGAAUUGCCUUUGAUACUGGCUGUCUUGAGUUUGGGAGAGGUGAGUGGAACUCCGAGUGUAGAGGUGAAAUUCGUAGAUAUUCGGAAGAACACCAGUGGCGAAGGCGACUCACUGGCCCAAUACUGACGCUGAGGCGCGAAAGCGUGGGGAGCAAACAGGAUUAGAUACCCGGGUAGUCC